UAAAUUAUUAGCAGCGCCUUUAUUUCCGCGUUUUGUUGAAUAUAUAACAUUUACUUAUUCGAUUUAACGCGUUUUUUUAUUUAAAUACGAUUUUGUAACGCGCAUAAUAUUUUUUUACUUUAUGUCUUUAGGAUUAAAUUGGUAUCGUACCGAAAUUUGCUCGAUUAUAUAAACCCAACCAAAUAAAUAUAUUCGUUUAAAUAAAUUAAAUAAAAGUAACGUUUACAACAAUUAUAAGCCCGGAAAACGUUUGAUUUAAAGGUUUUAUAAAUCGUUUAUUUUAUUUAUAAAUUAUAUAAUUUACUUACGCAUUAUAUUCUUUCGACAUUUAUUAUUAAAUCCCUUUUCCCACCAUAUAUCCGCAAAAUUAUAUAUUUAUUUAUAAUGUUUUACUUUUCCGAGGAAAAAAUUGAAUUUACCAUUAUUAUAUUCCGCACGGCGAAAAAAUGGCCCGAAUGGUUUUUAUUUAUUAAAACCGCAAUUAAAAAACGUUACAUUUGGGUAUUGGUUAAUUUUUUAACCGAAAACGCACCCAAUUCCAUUUAUAUUAAGGCCACCAAAAACCUUUUUUCCCAAAACCUUUGCAAUAAAAAAAGCAAUGUGGAAAAAACGCCUGAAUUUGGAUAUUAACAGCGAUUUCGACGAGGAAUUAAUAAUAGACCAGAAAUUCGAAAAAUGGUAUAAUAACGUGGCAUUUGUUUUAUUUAUUCCCGACGUGGCCAAAUAUUAUAUCGAUAUUUUUUCCAUAAUUAAUAGGUUAACGGAUGCAAAUUUUAUAAAACGGGCGAACGUUAUAAUAUAGCAAAAAUAGGCGGCGGAUACCCAAUUUUUCCUCCGCAUUUUUCGGUUUUUAAUUAAUCCCCUCGAAAGCACGGAAAUAAAUAAAAUACGCCGUAAAUACCGGAAUUAAUUUAACAAAACCAAAUAAAAAAAAUACAAAUUUUAAAGCCUGGAUAUAAAAUAUGCAAACAAAAUUUAUAUUUGCCAAAAUAGAUAAUAUCCCGGAAAUCCAAGGUAUUAUAAAAAUUACCGAUUUAUUAUUAAUAGUUGCGGUGCGAAUGUCCGUUUCCUGGGGGAUUUACCAAUUUUAUAAAAUAAAUAAAAUAAUAAUUAUGGGAAAACCAUUUAUGGAUAUGGAAAAAUAUUUAAAGGUUUUGGGAAUAUAUAUAUAAUUAUAUAAAAUUUAACCGACCAAAUCCAAAAUUAAUUCCAACUAUUAUAAUAAUGGGAGGAAAUGGAUCGCAAAAAAACCCAAACGAAAACAGUUUAAACCAAGGUAAAUUAUUAUAAAAAUACCAAUAUUUAUACAAAAAUACCGACGGUAAAAAAUAUCAAUGGAAAUCCAAAAAUUGCGACAAAUUUUAUUGGGUUUUAACAAAUAUAAAAAAAUUAAAAAGGUCGAGGGAAUUCGUAUAAAUCCCGACGAAAAAAAUAUAAUUUUACAAAAGUUAUUUAAAUCCAAAAAUUAUAAGCAAUUUCGACAAAGUUUGGUACGCAAAAACCUUUUUACAAAGGAUUUUAACGGGGAUUUCCAAUUUAUAAAAAAAAACUUAGGGAUAUAGGAAAAUUUUGAACAAAUCCCCAACAAAUUUAUAAAUUAUACCGUUAUACCGCAAAAUAUAAUUAAAAUACCGGAAAUGGUAAUCGGUGUAUUCGCAAUUAAGAAAAAUACCCACCCUUUCGCCGAUAAUACAAUUGUUAACAGUAAAAACGCAAUAUACGUUAUUAAUUUAAUAUUAUUAACCGACGAAAGGACGUUUUACCCAAUAAAUAUUAACAAUUCCGUCGCAACCGGUGCAUCCACGCUGCAAAUCCAAAAAUAUGGCCGCAAAACCUUUAAUAACCUAUUAAAUAGCAGAGAUUUAAUUUUGGAAAAGGUCGCAUUAAUUCCAGGAUUUUACGUUAAUAUUAUAUCCGAAAUAUUAAUUAGCAAAUACGGAUUAUAAUUCUAUAAUUAAAACCUUUUUUUUAAAAUACGGGCUAAUUUACGCGAAUACGUUAAUUUUACGGCUGGAAAAAUAAAGAAAUUUACCAUUUUUCAAAUAUAAAUUAAUACCGCAAAAUUUUCCUACCCUUCCAAUUUUAAUCCCAUUUUUUAAAACGGAAAUUAUCGUUAUAACGGUUAUAUAUAAUAUAAUAAAACGGUAAAAAA
RNAcentral lists this small RNA (2152 nucleotides) under Pyricularia oryzae. RNAcentral's name for it is "Magnaporthe oryzae sRNA M_BR32_EuGene_00142941". Lineage: Eukaryota; Fungi; Ascomycota; Sordariomycetes; Magnaporthales; Pyriculariaceae. The record is from RNAcentral.